GAAGGUAUAGCUCAGUGGUAGAGCUCAUACUUAGCGUGCAUGAGGUCCUGGGUUCAAUCCUCAGUACCUCCA
RNAcentral lists this transfer RNA (72 nucleotides) under Camelus bactrianus (Bactrian camel). It matches the Rfam family "tRNA". Rfam says of the family: Transfer RNA (tRNA) molecules are approximately 80 nucleotides in length. The record is from Rfam by way of RNAcentral. Lineage: Eukaryota; Metazoa; Chordata; Mammalia; Artiodactyla; Camelidae. RNAcentral also lists the same sequence under 1 other name.